UACGUAGGGUGCGAGCGUUAAUCGGAAUUACUGGGCGUAAAGCGUGCGCAGGCGGUUAUGUAAGACAGAGGUGAAAUCCCCGGGCUCAACCUGGGAACUGCCUUUGUGACUGCAUGACUAGAGUACGGCAGAGGGGGAUGGAAUUCCGCGUGUAGCAGUGAAAAGCGUAGAUAGGCGGAGGAACACCGAUGGCGAAGGCAAUCCCCUGGGCCUGUACUGACGCUCAUGCACGAAAGCGUGGGGGGCAAACAGG
RNAcentral lists this ribosomal RNA (253 nucleotides) under uncultured bacterium. Its description in RNAcentral is "partial 16S ribosomal RNA". It matches the Rfam family "Bacterial small subunit ribosomal RNA", at positions 524 to 776 of the family's 1533-position model. The record is from RNAcentral.